AGCAGCCGCGGUAAUUCCAGCUCCAAUAGCGUAUAUUAAAGUUGUUGCAGUUAAAAAGCUCGUAGUUGAAUUUCGGGGUCAGUAGGUCGGUCGUGCCACAGGUAUGCACUGGUCUCACUGAUUCCUCCUUCCUGAUGAACCGUAAUGCCAUUAAUUUGGUGUUGCGGGGAGACUUGGACUGUUACUUUGAAAAAUUGAGUGUUUAAAGCAGGCUAACGCUUGAAUACAUUAGCAUGGAAUAACGGAAUAGGACGUUCGAUCUUAUUUUGUUGGUUUCUAAGAUUGACGUAAUGAUUAAUAGGGAUAGUUGGGGGCAUUAGGUAUUCAAUU
Molecule: small RNA, 330 nt
Filed under: uncultured Entrophospora
Lineage: Eukaryota; Fungi; Glomeromycota; Glomeromycetes; Entrophosporales; Entrophosporaceae
Description: SSU rRNA
Rfam family: Eukaryotic small subunit ribosomal RNA
Source: RNAcentral